ACAGUGCUACGACUACAGCAGUAUGGCUCCGGUGGCGUGGGUUGCGUUGUUUGGGACGCUGCCAUUGUCCUUUCUAAAUACCUGGAAACGCCCGAGUUUUCUGGCGACGGGGCCCACGCGCUGAGCCGGCGGUCGGUGCUGGAGCUGGGUUCGGGCACCGGGGCCGUGGGGCUCAUGGCUGCUACCCUCGGGUAAGAGCUGGCGGGCGGGCGGGAUGUGGGGGCGCCUUCUUGCUGGGGAAAUCUGGAUUACAGGCUUUCCCUCCUGUGCCUACACCUCAGUCGACGUUAUUUUAUAGGGCUGAUGUUGUAGUCACCGAUCUUGAGGAAUUGCAAGACUUGCUGAAGAUGAAUAUUAGUAUGAACAAGCAUCUUGUCACUGGUUCUGUUCAAGCCAAGGUACUGAAAUGGGGGGAAGAAAUAGAAGGCUUUCCUUCUCCACCCGACUACAUACUGAUGGCCGACUGCAUAUACUAUGAAGAGUCUUUGGAGCCAUUGCUGAAAACUCUAAAAGAUAUCAGUGGAUUUGAAACUUGUAUUAUAUGUUGUUAUGAACAACGAACAAUGGGGAAAAAUCCAGAAAUUGAGAAAAAAUAUUUUGAGUGAUAACCCAAACCCUUUUUAUGGGCACAAAUCUAUCACAUUGUGAGUGACUCCUUUUGAGGGUACAUCUAUAUAGGCCUGCAGUUUUGUCUGCUGAAAGGACUGCUUUGGUUUAAUGAGAAAGCAGGUAUAUGACUGCCUCAGAAAUUUCCAUCGUGAAGCCUUUAAUCAUCUUACCCAAGCCUCUAACAACCUGGGUACACUAAAGAUGUGAAUAGAGCAUGUCAAUACAGCAUGGGAAGAUUGUGUUCACAGAUUUUUUUUCCGGCACGUCCUUAGAGAUCCGAUAUAUAGAUGGACGACCACCAGGGGCUGUCUGCAAUAUGAAAAAUGCCUGCUUGCCUGCCUGCCUGCCAGUGGCCCUGAAUCCAGCUUAGGUUACUUAGUUCAGCAUAAAGUUCUACUUAAAUGUUGGGAAUCAGUUAUUCAAAUAAAAAUUGGUAUUGAGGCGAGGCUAAAAUCUGCCAAAAACAGUGAACCAACAUGAUUGACUUGACCUUUUACAGGAAACUAGAGAUAAAUUUCUGAAGAGAACUAUCUGCUAUUAUAUAAUAAUGUUUUAAAUUCAAACUAGUAAAUUUUAGUUUGUCUUCAAAGUUUAAAAGGUUUUCAUUUUAUACAUAAUUAUACAAUAUUUAUCAUUUGUAUUUUCCACUUCAUUUCUUUUAAAAUAUCUUUAAUACUUAAAUGUUCUUUUAAUUUUAAAAAGAACUGAGAUAUUGUCUUUUAUACUUACAUUGGCCAAAGUUUUCUUUUCCUCCACCGUACAUAUCUAUGUGAUUUAAUCAGUAAAUUGUACUGUAAUGAGUUGCUAAGAAGACAAAUUAGAAGAUUGGAGGAACAAAAGAUAUCUUUAUAGAUUUUUCAUUUGAGAAUGGAGUGAGAAUAGAAAAACCAGUUUCAGGCUUACGCACUUACGUGGCUCAUGCACUUUAUGUAUAUGUUCCAGGAAAAUCUGGCUUAAAAAUACUGGUAUUAACUUGUUUACAUGAAGCAGUGAAAGGUUUUUGAAUAACUACAAAUGUAGUUCUGUAUGUAUAUACCAAAUGAAUUUUUGUUCUGUGUCUCUCUGUUUUAUGUUAUGAAGCCAUUCGCUCAUAUACAAUAAUCUGUCAAGGACUUUAAUCAUACUUGUUCCAAAGAGUAGUAACCGGAUGGAAUUCUGGUAUUUACAGGCAUUGGUGCUAGAUGGUACAUUUUAUGUGUUAAAAUAAACAUUGUUUUUGAGACCUUG
RNAcentral lists this small RNA (1836 nucleotides) under Pongo abelii (Sumatran orangutan). RNAcentral's name for it is "retained intron". The record is from RNAcentral. Lineage: Eukaryota; Metazoa; Chordata; Mammalia; Primates; Hominidae.